Molecule: transfer RNA, 89 nt
Filed under: Bacteroidota bacterium
Lineage: Bacteria; Pseudomonadati; Bacteroidota
Description: Bacteroidetes bacterium (microbial mat metagenome) tRNA-Ser
Rfam family: tRNA
About the family: Transfer RNA (tRNA) molecules are approximately 80 nucleotides in length. Their secondary structure includes four short double-helical elements and three loops (D, anti-codon, and T loops).
Source: RNAcentral
GGAGAGAUGCCAGAGCGGUUGAACGGGCCUGACUCGAAAUCAGGUGUCUGCUUUAUUGUGGACCGGGGGUUCGAAUCCCUCUCUCUCCG